This is a long non-coding RNA of Gallus gallus (chicken), 3527 nucleotides long. RefSeq lists it as uncharacterized. The record is from RefSeq and is a predicted model, not a curated record. The transcript has 4 exons. Lineage: Eukaryota; Metazoa; Chordata; Aves; Galliformes; Phasianidae.
CUUCCUCUUCCCUCAGCUCUCGUCUGGACCACACGCAUCGCCUCAGCACUACUUUCCAGGCACCUGUCCAGAAGAGAAGAAAUACAUACCCCAGGGGGCUUUGCGGUCAGAGGGAAGAUAUUACCCCUGACAAAAAGAUUAUUGAAGCUACCUAAGUGAAGUUCAGAAAUUGAUAAUCAACAGUUUCCUGUGACUAGCCAUGAAACCCCUGCAAUGGAAAAAAUCUCAGUGGAGAUGGGCCAGCACAAUGUGCCCAUGAAGCUCAGAGAAUAAAACAGAGUGUGACUGACCAGAGCUGUUGCAAAGAAGAUAAUUUCACCUUAACACAAAAGGGAUUGAGUUACAGUUAUUAAGAACAGCUAUGUCAGUUGGGUAUAACAACCGACUAUACUGCAGCUGAGUGAAUCAACUGGUAAUGUAAAUAUUUAUUCCAGAGUUUGUUAAAAGACUGUGGAUGUCCCCCUCACUUAGCCAGAUUAGUAUGGGAUAAGUGAAUACACGUCUUAGACUAACAAAGUAUAAAAAACUGGAGAAAAAAAUAAUAAGAAGAAGAAAGAGCAAUGAGUUUAAGCUGGCUUUAAGCCAUGCAUUCCUUCCCAGCAACUGGAGAUGCUCAGUACAUGGUAAGAACAUUACAGACACUAGAAACAGGAGUCAUGUUGGUAUUAUGAUUGAAUUACAUAUUCCAAUUUCUAGAUUUUUAUAAAUGUAACUUACAUUUGUACUGUGAUUUCACAAUUUUCAUUUUGUAUUACUCUGCUAAAGCAAAAAUCCCAUGUAAAAUCACAUAUAUUCAAAUAAGUAAGUUAGAUAUUAAACGUUACACCAUACAUACAUGGAAUAUUUAAAUAACUUUGUCAUAGAAUAUUGAAUUUUUAUUUAUUUAUUUAUUUAUUAUUUUUGUUUUGAUUGAAUAUCCUGUGAUUUAUUUUGGCUUUAAGAAUAACAGAUAAAAUCUUUCUGGAGGAAAAAGACUGGAAUUAUUUCUCCAGGAGUGCAUCUAAUAUGUUGAUGUUGCAGAUAAGUAUUCAGCUCAAAGAAGCAGACUGGAGCUAAUCUAAAGUGAAACCAUAGAAAUAUUUCUUUUGGAGCAAUAGGUUCUACAACUAAGUGCUCCUUUGUUUCCUGAAGUCUUGUCUUUUCAUCCCAAAAUGCUGAAAUAAUUUUGAGGGGAAUUUAUCCUUACUGCUAAUAGAAAUAAUUAAUAAUAAUAAUAAUAAUAAUAAAAGCCUGAAGAGAUUAUUAUUAUUGUCAAGUCAGAUAUGCAUAACAGGCUGAAGAAGUGCCUGAAUUAGAAGUAAUGUUUUUAUUCUAAAAAAGAAUUCAAAUGAAGAUAAUUUGAUCUUGAUUUCAGUACAUUUUUCUAUGUUGAGAAAUAAUAUUUUCAUUUCUUUUCAUCUAUUCUUGUGGUGCUCCUAAGUGCUUUUAAAUUAUCAUAUCUAACAAUCAUUGACAUACAUCAGUAUUUGAUUGUGGUCCUCUAUUAACUACUACAGGGUUUUUAUUAGCAGAAAAAAAAAGGGUAAAAGAUGAUACACAAUGACACUGUACUCACAUCAGCUGAUUAAGUCAAUGACUUUCUAAAUCACAGUAUUUAAAACAUUGGACUUUAAAUAUUUACAAAAACUAUUUAGGAACAUUAGUCCUGCUUCUGCAAGUAAAUGAAAAUACCUUCAUUAGAAUCAUAAGUAUUAGUCAUAAGAGUCAUAAGUAUUAGUUGCUACACAUUUGGGAUCUCCAAAUAACAGAUUGAUCAGUAUUUUGCUUCUCAGAGAGAGGAAUUCCUUCAUGCACAAAAGCUGUUCUGCUUCAUUUAGUAGUUAAUGAAAACAAAAACAGUUCCAGUCAAAACUAUUUUCUUGUUUCUUACCUAUUCUUUCAGAAAAGGGUAGUAGAAUUCAUGUAAUCUCAUUUUCCUCUAUUUUAUGUGUAGCUUUACCAUAAUUUCAUUAUCUGGACUGCUCCCAUGAUGAAUAAAGAAAGAUCAGUGAAGGUGUCCUAUAUCACGAAGAAGCUGUUGAAGCUAUUUUUUUUCCCUUAAAGUUAAUUUGGUUUACAUAUUUAUAAAUAUUUGUCCUUACUUCUAGGUACGUAGAUAAAUUCUGUCCCUGAUAUAAGCACCUUUAGCUGCAAGAAACACAGAGAGUAGGUAGUUUUUAUGUAGAAACUUAUUUUUCCUGGAAGAAGCUGAGAGUUCUGUUAGGAUCUCUGCUACCUACAUUUGAUUACAGACAAAAGUGGUUACAUAAAUUCAGUGAUUAGAUGACUAUCAAAGUACAUAAGCAAAUGCAAUAUAAUAUUCUUUAAUAGGAAGGAUUUGUGGUCAGGCGGAGAAGUAUCAGCUGAAAAUUUUAUAUGAUAGAUCUUGCAAUAAAGACAGUAAAACACUCUCAAAAAAACAACAAGCCACCAAUGAAAAAGAUGCUAGUUUAAUGGUACCAAUAAUAGCAAGGAAACAGAGCUAGCGCAGAACCUAGGAGAGAAGUUUAGCAAAAUGUCGGGCCUGCACAAAUUCUUUGUAACAACAUACGGCUCCAUUACUUCACUUUUCAGGCAGCCUAAGCACACCAGGGCUAGAGGUAGAGAGGCUCACAGUACUUCCUCAGGCAACAGCUGGUGAUGCUAGAAAAGGCAUUAUUUUAGACAACAGGAACCAAGUCUCAUGCAUGUCAAGACAUCUGGAGGUUCUGUAAAAUGCUCAGAAUAUGCUCAGUAGACAGACACAAACUGCAGAUUCUAGAGGUAGAUUCUUGAGAUAGAAUGUCUUGUAGAUGGUUUGAUCUCUGCGUCGUAGAUAAGAAGAAUGUGUGGGGAGAACCAAACAGUGUAAUGAUUCCUAAUGUUUUGUUGUUGUUGUUGUUGUUGUUUUCUUUCUGUUCAUAGUACCUGUAAGGAAACUGUUGCCAACUGAAAUAUGCAGAAUUAAAUUCAAUUUAUCCGACGAUGAUUUUUUAAAAUAAAUAACUUCUCAUUUCAUCAUUCCAUUACAAUUUACAUAUUUUAUUUUAACAAUUUGUAAAUUGCUAAAUUUAUAAUUUGAAAUUGUUAAAUUGGUGAGGGGGGUGGCUCCAUAAAUAAAUUAAAAAUCAAAUAAACAAAAAAAUUAAAACAAACAGAAACCCCCACACAUAUCCUCCCCCUUUUUUUUUCCUCUAUUGCAACAAGACCUUCAGCUACUUAAUUCAUUACAGUAUCAGUCUUUUCACCUCUCUGUUUAAACUUUCAAACAGUAAAAUUAAAUCCAAAAACAUUUUAAAUUUUUUAAGUAAAUCACAUAUCUAAGCAAAAAUGAAAAUGCAAAAUGGAUCAUUAUGUUUGUCUUGAAAUAUUUGUCUGAAGAAAAAGGCUGUUUUAAUAAUGCUGUUAUUUUCUCAGAGGGAAUUUCCAUUUUACUUUUUCCCUUUCUCUUUUCCUUAGAGGAAGAUAAGCACAGAGAUAUUUUUUAUAGAAUAUUAUUAAUUAAAAUGAUUUCUCUUUGAUCUUCUGUAAUAUGAAGAGAAAUAAAUUCACUGCCCUUUGUACUCAAA